AUAUUAUGUGUCUUUUUACCACACACACAAAAAUAUAACACAAAACAUGUGUUUCCCAGAAUCAAGAGUCUGACCACCUUACGCAACUUAGAUAUUGUAGAAAUGUAAGAUUCAGUCCACCUGUGAGAUGCUUCUAAAAAGCACAGCAGCACAAUGCUGUGGAUAUUUUUUCCAGAAAGAAGAUUUGGAGCCCAGUGUCUGAGAAAGGAAUGAAAUCCAGGUUGUGCGUGACAUGACUUUGAAAUAUUGCUGAUCUGUGGAAAGGCCUGAAGAUCCUCACACAGCUGUUGUCAAAGAGUGAUUUGCGAAGGCAUCAGGAGGAGGUCGUACCCACCACAGGUGUUCCGAUGAUCGCUUCUUAGAAUUUGGAAACUCUGGGAAGGCACUGAAAGAGAAACUUCACUGCCAAGAGCAUCCUGAAAACAAGCAAUUGAAGGCAGGUGUGGAGCAAUACCAUUUUUUUCUGGCUCUGAGGAUGAGUCUGAGUCUUACAAGCAUGGUAAGUCUCCAUGUAAUAGCUGUCAUUAAUUAAAGAACAGACUUGGAACUGUAAAUGAAAGGUAAUUGUUCCUAUAUUCCUGCUCCCAAAUGCUGGGUCCCUGGUACAUACAGGGAUAAGGGAGUUGGCUAGGACUGGUCCCAGCUGUAAGUCAGGGAGGACUACGUGUUGUGAUUUGAGGGGCAGAGACUCCCCUAUCUCUCCCUCCCCAAAGCUUCCUCAGUAAACUUCAUCCUAUUUUCAGGGACUGGGGGUGGAGUAGAAGGUUAGUACCUUGCUUCCAGAAGACCCUCGAGAAAAUAAGUGUACUGUGAGGGAU
Molecule: long non-coding RNA, 818 nt
Filed under: Delphinapterus leucas (beluga whale)
Lineage: Eukaryota; Metazoa; Chordata; Mammalia; Artiodactyla; Monodontidae
Description: lncRNA (ENSDLEG00000009889.1)
Source: RNAcentral